UUUCUCCCAAGUUGAAGAGGAGGAAGAGGGAUAGCCGCUUCAGGAAGGAGACCGCUUUCCAUGAUGCGGAGCAGGAGGG
Molecule: non-coding RNA, 79 nt
Organism: Callorhinus ursinus (northern fur seal)
Lineage: Eukaryota; Metazoa; Chordata; Mammalia; Carnivora; Otariidae
Source: RefSeq, a predicted model, not a curated record